Molecule: long non-coding RNA, 4306 nt
Filed under: Xyrichtys novacula (pearly razorfish)
Lineage: Eukaryota; Metazoa; Chordata; Actinopteri; Labriformes; Labridae
Source: RNAcentral
GGAGUCUAUUUGAUAUUUGAUGCUUUAAAAAAGUGGUUCAUGUGUUCGCAUGCAUGUUUUUUUUCACUAGUAUCUCCUGCCAUGAUGCUCGAGGUGCACGUUGUUCAUCCUCGCUCAGAAAUCUGCGUUCAUCUCAAUCUGCUCCUCUAUGAAAUGUCCUGCCCUUCAGUUGAGUGCAGGUCAUGUAAUCUUGUUUGUGCAUGUCAACAUGAUCUAUAACAAACAGCUGUGAUUGUGCAGCUCUUAGAAAAGCUGUUUUUUUUCUCUCUGACUAUGAGAUAACACUUUUUCCUGUGACAAGAAAAGCCUCAGUGUUCAAAGAAGUGACCACAAAGCUGUUGCAAAAACACUUAUUAAGUAAGAAAGCGCAAAAUUAAACAUGUGACAUAAUACUCCUUACAUAAAGUGAUGGGUGUGAAUAAAUACGGCUCUGCAGAGUUAGAGAUCUCUGCUCUUUGUUGACGUUGCUGUUUUCGGGUGGAGUAAAUUUGGUUAAUGAAGUGUUCAUGAACCAAAGUUUUUCAGUCGCUCUCCGAUUCUUAAAAGUUUUCUGAGUCUUUGAACCGAGUGCACCCACUGAAUCUUGUUGUUUUCCCUCCUGACAGGCUGAAAACACAGUCUGUUUUUUCCACAAUAAAACCAUAAAACUUGCCAGAAAAUGUCGAUUUUUUAACACUCUAGCCAGAAGAAGGGAUUUUCCAUUUUUCUGCAACAAAUCAACAAAUCAAUAGAGUGAUGUAUCUGCCUUUUCCCAACAUCUAUUAAAGCCGAAGCUGCUGCACUGCCAGGCCUCAACUUUUAUAAGAGCGGGGAAAAGAUGAUAGCGUGAAGACAUGUAACCCAUGUAGACUAACAGAGCAGAAUUUGUUUGGUCUGAAUUUAGCUACAUGAGAUUAGUAAAACUGCAUAUGUUUAAAAAUGAUGAGCGUGAUCUUUAAGACGAGAAAACAGAGAAAAGCUGAUACAAACACAAACAGAAGAGUUGUUUUACUCUUGAAAAGCAACGCUACCAUCUGAACAUGUCCACUACAGACAACAACAGUGAGACAUCUUCUGAAAGGACACCUCCACACCGUGUGUAGGGGAGCUGGAGUCUCCUGUUGGACCACUUUGUCAUCAGAACUGACUCUGAUGGGAAUCCACUGAUAUAUCAAAACCAGUGAGUUAGAGACGUAAGAUCUUAGCGACACAGUAACAGACACCACGACCUUUAGGAAGAGUAAAAAACAGGGCAACAUAAAAGCUAACGCACUAGUCUGCAUGAGCAACAAGAGACACUGACACAACAAUAUUUCAGGCUUGCAGCGUCAUGUUUUCUUGUAGCACAAUGUUGGAUGACUGUUGGUAAGAUACUGGAUGAAUGUUGGUAAGAUACUGGAUGAAUGUUGGUUAGAUGUUGGAUGAAUGUUGGAUGAAUGUUGAGUUAGAUGUUGGAUGAAUAUUGGAUGAUUGUUGGUUAGAUGUUGGAUGAAUGUUGGAUAGAUGCUGGAUGAAUGUUGGAUAGAUGCUGGAUGAAUGUUGGAUAGAUGCUGGAUGAAUGUUGGAUGAAUGUUGGAUGGAUGCUGGAUGAAUGUUGGUUAGAUGUUGGAUUAAUUUUGGUUAGAUGAUGGAUGACUGUUGGAUGAAUGUUGGUUAGGUGUUGGAUGAAUGUUGGUUAGAUGUUGAAUGACUGUUGGAUAAAUGUUGGUUAGUUGUUGGAUAAAUGUUGGUUAGUUGUUGGAUGAAUGUUGGAUGGAUUCUCAGUUACUGUAGUCUGAAAAAACACUAUUUAAACUCACUAUCAGCAGAGGGAACAAUAUUGGGUUUGAUUAAAGCCGUCGUUAUGCGAGAAAUAAAGAUCCUUUGAUUAUAAAUAUGUCUGCUUUUAUUGCCAAGUAUUUUUCAGAAAUGCUUCAGACACGGCAAAGUAGUAUUUUCAUUUUCAAAGAAAGCUGCCAUUUUGUUUUUAGGUUAACUGACAUCCUAAAAUAUGCCCCUUUUAAAAAUUUCUCCAGCUCCAGCUUUAAAAAAAUUAUCUGUGUUUUCAUAAUAUGAAGAGCAAACAGCCAUUAAAAUAUUGGCACACAGAAUCGUACGAGUCUGCAUGAACGCUACACUCAGGCAUCCAGUUUACACUCUGCAUCCUCUGUUGAUUCAACGUUUUAAUGAACCUCCUCGCUGAAUAUCUGGAGGCCAAAGGAAAGUCUUUCAUCUGCGAUCACACAAAAGAACAAAAACAACAUUCAUAUCUCUUAAAGUGCUCCAGAUAGAAAGAGGGACAAGGAGUUUCUGCAUCAGCCGCCAUAUCUUUUGUUUUCAUUCCUCAUGCUCGCUGGAGAAGAAAGUACUCGAACCACGGAAAAGUGAAAAGACGGGGCCCUGAGGUGAUGCUGUGCAGGUUGCAUAACGAACAUAAAGUGCCUGUUUACCUCAAGGACCCUCAGACAGAGACAUUCAAGAUGGAGCCGAAGAAGAGAGGGACGAAAUGUUCAAGCCUCUGCAAAUGUAGCAUGAAAUAGUAGAGAAGCAUCAAGGAGGUGCAGAUAUGACGAAGACCUCUGUCGCCCUGCAGAACUGAAGGACACCCGGAGUCACGUCAGCAUGUUGGACGUCUCUUUGGGCUGCAGGUGAUUUAUCUAAAUAACAGGAAAUGUCCAAUCAGGUUUUGGACAGGAAGAGACGGACCGCAGCGUCCUCUAAAUGUUCCCAAACCUCCACCCAGAGACCCUGACCAGCUGACCGGAUUGUGUGUGUGUGUGUGUGUGUGUGUGUGUCUAUCAUUUCACUGUCAGCAUGAUAAACUGCGACAGGAAGAGUUUGUCCUCCUGGAGGAAAACUGUUUUUGAUUUAUUGAAAAUAUAUCUAGAAUAAGCUGCAGGAGGAGAACAGUGACCAACAUACUGAGUUCUCUAAGACACCUCAUGUCACCUCCACCUGGACUAGGAGGACAAAGAACUGGACUAAAGGACCCGGUAUGGAAAAGAGAGGACAGGACACAGUCAGCAGAUUCCUAAAGUUCUCUGGACAGACACGGAGGAUCCAUCCUGAUCUAAGAAGUUCAACUUAAUCCUGGUCUGGUGAGUGACUCUGGAUGAGAGUGUCAGUUUAACGGCGUAACUGCUAAUAUAACUCAAUACUGACCAUAAUGGGCCGUGUGUUUACGCAGCACUCAGACAGAGGCUGCAGUGACGGCAGAAGAAUAGCGGAUUGUCCCUUUAAAUCCAGUUACUCUCUCAGACACGCUUUGGAAGAGUGAGAGUCAGCGAAAUACCUGACGGAGGAGGAAAAGGAAAGGUGGUGUGUGUCAUAAGAAGGAGGAGGAGGAGGUUGUAAAAUAUCAGCAGCAGACAGAUUGUUGAAGACGGAGGAACAUUUCAGUUGUGAUUAUUGGAGGGGCGUGUUCUGUUCAGGAUGUUAUAUAACACCACAGACGCAGAAUAAACGCCAAAGACCUUGAUGCACUUGACCUUCACAGGCCCACCUCUUUGACUUCCUGUCUGUGACCUGACAGCAGGAUGCAGAACCAGGACGUGAAGUUCUCUCCAACAACAAUAUCAGUCUGUUCACAUCUCUGUCAUUCAUUCACACUUAAAAAACAGCGAGUUUGUCUGAUUGGAAGUCCAAACCUUCAGCUGGAGUUUGUUGUGUUGGAUAAACUUAAAGAGUUUACAGAGGGACAACUUUAAAACCUCUCAGAGAAACAGAUCAGGGGUCAUUUUAAACUCAGAGGCCAUCUUUAACUGCCAGAAAAUAUCAAAACAUCGCUCUCUACUGGUCACAUGCAGAUGGUACAGCCAUCAUGUGCAGAAAAGACUCACUUUUCAGGCAUUUUAGAGAGUAGCUGAGAUUAACCUGAGGACUAAAAGUACACUGUUGAUAAACGUUGCUGUGUUUUAAGAUAAAUACUGAGUUUCCUCUCAAUAGAAACGUCAUAAACAGAUAUAGAAGCUACGAUUUAAAUGAUCUUAAAAGCACACACUCCAACAUGUGGCACAAGAAAGUUUGUCGUGUUGUUCUGCGUUUUAAUCGUUGAGGUUGGACUGUUGCAUGGAUCACGAAUGAAUUCAGAGUGUUUGGUUGCAUUUGCUUUAAGGCCGACAUGCUUUAAUUUACUCUGCCUUCAUAUUUAAAUCGAGCAGACUCAGGCUAUUUUCUGUCAUUGUGACCCUGAAAACACACUCUGAAUGAGUUGUGUGGGAUUGACUGAUAAUAUAUCCAUCAAAACAAUCAACUCUAAUAAUCAAAGUUACUUUACAAAUGAACAGAAAUAUGUGUUUGUUUACGUACGAGACACAGCAGCAUAACUUUAAUAAAGAUCCAAACUCUA